AGGGACAGUGUCUGGAGAGGAGGCAGAGAGAGGGACAGUGUCUGGAGAGGGAGGAGAGGAGGCAGAGAGAGGGACAGUGUCUGGAGAGGGAGGAGAGGAGGCAGAGAGAGGGACAGUGUCUGGAGAGGGAGGAGAGGGAGGCAGAGAGAGGGACAGUGUCUGGAGAGGAAGGAGAGGAGGCAGAGAGAGGGACAGUGUCUGGAGAGGAAGCAGAGAGAGGGACAGUGUCUGGAGAGGGAGGAGAGGGAGGCAGAGAGAGGGACAGUGUCUGGAGAGGGAGGAGAGGAGGCAGAGAGGAGGGACAGUGUCUGGAGAGGAAGGAGAGGAGGCAGAGAGAGGGACAGUGUCUGGAGAGGGAGGAGAGGGAGGCAGAGAGAAGGGACAGUGUCUGGAGAGGGAG
Molecule: long non-coding RNA, 400 nt
Organism: Oncorhynchus keta (chum salmon)
Lineage: Eukaryota; Metazoa; Chordata; Actinopteri; Salmoniformes; Salmonidae
Exons: 3
Source: RefSeq, a predicted model, not a curated record